AUUGAACGCUGGCGGCAUGCCUUACACAUGCAAGUCGAACGGCAGCACGGGUGCUUGCACCUGGUGGCGAGUAGCGAACGGGUGAGUAAUACAUCGGCACCUGUCCUGUCGUGGGGGAUAGCCCGGCGAAAGCCGGAUUACUACCGCAUACGAUCCACGGCUUAGAGCGGGGGACCUUCGGGCCGCGCGCUUUGGGGUGGGCCGGUGGCUGAUUAGCUAGUUGGUGGGGUAGAGGCGUACCAAGGCGACGAUCAGUAGCUGGCCUGAGAGGAGGACCGGCCACCCUGGGACUGAGAGAGGGCCCAGAGUGGUACGGGAGGCAGAAGGGGGGAAUAUUGCGCAAUGGGCGGAAGCGUGAGGCAGCGACGCCGCGUGGGGGAUGACGGCCUUCGGGUUGUAAAACUCUUUCAGCAGGGACGAAGCGGGAGUGACGGUACCUGAAGAAGAAGCACCGGCCAACUACGUG
RNAcentral lists this ribosomal RNA (466 nucleotides) under uncultured bacterium. RNAcentral describes it as "partial 16S ribosomal RNA". It matches the Rfam family "Bacterial small subunit ribosomal RNA", at positions 28 to 507 of the family's 1533-position model. The record is from RNAcentral.